RNAcentral lists this ribosomal RNA (425 nucleotides) under uncultured bacterium. Its description in RNAcentral is "partial 16S ribosomal RNA". It matches the Rfam family "Bacterial small subunit ribosomal RNA", at positions 354 to 796 of the family's 1533-position model. The record is from RNAcentral.
GUAGGGAAUCUUGCGCAAUGGGCGAAAGCCUGACGCAGCCAUGCCGCGUGAAUGAUGAAGGUCUUAGGAUUGUAAAAUUCUUUCACCGGGGACGAUAAUGACGGUACCCGGAGAAGAAGCCCCGGCUAACUUCGUGCCAGCAGCCGCGGUAAUACGAAGGGGGCUAGCGUUGCUCGGAAUUACUGGGCGUAAAGGGAGCGUAGGCGGAUAGUUUAGUCAGAGGUGAAAGCCCAGGGCUCAACCUUUGAAUUGCCGUUGAUACUGGCUAUCUUGAGUAUGGAAGAGGUAUGUGGAACUCCGAGUGUAGAGGUGAAAUUCGUAGAUAUUCGGAAGAACACCAGUGGCGAAGGCGACAUACUGGUCCAUUACUGACGCUGAGGCUCGAAAGCGUGGGGAGCAAACAGGAUUAGAUACCCCUGUAGUCC